GGCUGGUCCGAUACUAGUGGGUUAUCAGAACUUAUUAACAUUAGUGUACCUAAAAUUGGUAUACAACCCCCUACUGCUAAAUUUGACUGACUUUAA
This 96-nucleotide Y RNA is filed under the name Carlito syrichta (Philippine tarsier). RNAcentral's name for it is "Y RNA (ENSTSYG00000036622.1)". It matches the Rfam family "Y RNA". From Rfam's summary of the family: Y RNAs are components of the Ro ribonucleoprotein particle (Ro RNP), in association with Ro60 and La proteins. Lineage: Eukaryota; Metazoa; Chordata; Mammalia; Primates; Tarsiidae. The record is from Rfam by way of RNAcentral.